RNAcentral lists this ribosomal RNA (465 nucleotides) under uncultured bacterium. RNAcentral's name for it is "partial 16S ribosomal RNA". It matches the Rfam family "Bacterial small subunit ribosomal RNA", at positions 28 to 507 of the family's 1533-position model. The record is from RNAcentral.
GACGAACGCUGGCGGCGUGCUUAACACAUGCAAGUCGAACGGAAAGGCCCCUUUGGGGGUACUCGAGUGGCGAACGGGUGAGUAACACGUGAGUAACCUGCCCUUGACUUCGGGAUAACUUCAGGAAACUGGGGCUAAUACCGGAUAGGAAUCCUUGCUGCAUGGUGGGGGUUGGAAAGCUUCGGCGGUUUUGGAUGGACUCGCGGCUUAUCAGCUUGUUGGUGGGGUAGUGGCUUACCAAGGCUUUGACGGGUAGCCGGCCUGAGAGGGCGACCGGCCACAUUGGGACUGAGAUACGGCCCAGACUCCUACGGGAGGCAGCAGUGGGGAAUAUUGCACAAUGGGCGGAAGCCUGAUGCAGCGACGCCGCGUGCGGGAUGACGGCCUUCGGGUUGUAAACCGCUUUCAGCAGGGGCGAAGCUUGUGGUGACGGUACCUGCAGAAGAAGCACCGGCUAACUACGUG